GACAACUUCGGAAACACAGACUGAGGACGAACACUCAGUGAUAUUACCUGAUGAACCAUUUGUGAAAGUUGAACAUGCUUGGCCACAUAUCACCACCCCAACUCUCCCGUUAAACCGAAUUCCCCAAUUCUGAUUAAACCGACCAUCAAAAGACAAGAAGAGGGCUCAAAAUCGUCUGCUGAGUUUCGUACUAUCAAGGCUACGCACAGGACAUAUGUCAGAAUUUGAAGUGUGCUAAAAUAGUGAGGCGGCCAAGGAACAUGGAAAUACGGGAUGUCACCGGACGACAGCAGACGGAAAAAGAAGUGUCUAGACGGUGGAUUAACCGUUGUGGCAUCCCAUCCCCAAAAAGGAUUGUGUCCUUGGCAAAGUACACCUGCUGCAGACAACCAGCGGGAACAAAGGGUUCCGGGCAGACGGCUGCGAGCGUCCACCCUUUAUAAGGCGGACCCAAGGUCGGCAGCGGGCAGCUUGCGCUUGGACUUCGUCGGAGAAGCCGGUUCAAUGCUCAUUCUCAUCCUCAUGUUGUAUUCUCUGUUUUUCCUGUGCAUAAAUGUUGUUUGUUGUUGCCCAGUUGCAAUCACCUCCUUCCUCAUCAUAAGGGAAACUUCACUGGCGCAGUCGACAGGAUUGCAACAUUCACCAUCAUCGGCGGCGCAGACACGUGCAGCACGGAAGCGGACGGUACAGCGGGAGAGAGGACGAGUCAAAGCAACAUCUUUGUGAGAAGCUUUGGGAGCUACGGCUCGAAGGAACAGCAUCUUCGGAGCGGCAUCUGUGCUGGAAGCUUCGAAGGAGAAAGUUGUGUAAGACGGCACCUAAGUGGGAGGUCUUACGUGAGCUGCGGCUGGGAAGCGGCACCUAAGUGGGAGGCUUCAAGAGCUACAGUGAGACGGAGUGGCACCUAAGUGGGAGGCUCCGAGGACCACGGUCACCAGGCACAACACGUCACGGAAGACAACAAAGCAGGUAGGACUCGGUUCCGUUUUCUCUGAGGUCCACCAUGUCUGUAACAACAAGGUCAGGGGAUAAAAAGGUCCAGACUCCCGCAGAAGUUGUUGUAGACGAAAGUGGGACUAAAAGUGGUCAAAAAGAAACGGAUGUCAGGAUAAAGGAGAAAGAAAUGGAACUCCAUGCGUUGCAGCUUCAAAUCGAGCUGGAGAAGCUAAAGUUAGCGCGAGUGCAAGCGGGUGACGUGGCUGACGUACGCACGAACGGGACGCGGCUAGGGGAAUACGCGAAGGAACUGCGUGCCGCAUUGGCGCCCAUGCCGACGUCCGACGCCAUGGUGCCCGCAUGGUUUAAGAACGCAGAUACGUUGUUCGAGGCACUCCAAAUUCCUGAGGCGGUUCGAGGUACGAUCAUCUUACCUUUUCUCAAUGAGAAAGUUAGAACGUUUGUCGCUAGUCAGUCGGAUGGAAGCAUAAUGCUUUAUAGGGAGCUAAAGGAGGUUGUCUUGAAAGAGCUCAAACUGACAGCGAAUGAGUAUAAGAGGCGUUUCAACACGGCUAGGAAGAGCGACGGAGAGUCAUGGAACCAAUUUGCGACGACACUAGAGACGUUUUUCGCAUAUUAUGUACAGAGCCGACAAAUAGAAACAAUGGGCGACCUGAAACAGUUAGUCACUGCAGACAGAAUGAAACAAGUAAUGUCAGAUGACAUGCGUAGUUACAUUGUCCAAAACGAAACUAACUCUUGGCUAAGACCUAAAGAAAUCGCAGAACUCGCGGAAAACUAUGAAGAGAGCCGUCUGAGCCAUAGGGCAUCAAAGCGAGAAAAUGCGGCGCCAGUUAAGAGUGUAAGUGAGCGAGAAAUGAAUCCAGCUAGCACUGCGGUGAACAAACCGAACAAAGGAGACCGGAAACCUGUGAAAUGUUUCAAUUGUGGCGGUGUGGGUCACAUGAUGAGGGACUGCCCGCAGCCGAAGCGUAGGAAAGCGCAUGAAAGGGCAGCAGAAAUCAAGGAAGAUGCGUCGAAGCUCGUCGCUAGGGUAUCGUGGUUAACUCCGACAGAACCAGAUUACGCGAGUAACAGGACAGAAACAAAGGUUGUACACCUUGCGAUUGGCAACAAUGCUAUCGAGGCGCGGAUAGACUCGGGCGCGGAUAUUACGGUGAUCAGGCCGGACCACCUCCCAGAGGAUUAUGUAUCAGACAGUAGUGGCACGGUCAAGUUGAGGGGCGCAUUCGGUCCUGCGAUCACGGCAGAUUUGGUGUAUGUCCCACUCAGUCUAAUGGGAAGGCAGGGAAACGUGAACCAACAAGUGAUCACGCUAUGUGCGGUUACUGAGCAGUUGACAAAAGGUGUCGGCGCGCUGUUAACCCCCGAGGACUAUGGAGAGCUCAGUAAACUAGAGAAAGAACAAGAAAGCGACGCGCAAGAAAUUGUAAACCUGGAACAGGAAGCAGAGGCGGAGUGCGUGAGAGAACCCAAUGUCGUUGACUGCAUAGAACUGGAAGAGGAAUAUGAGGACGAGGCAGGUACAGUUGCCGUUGUGACAGUCGAAGCUGAAGAAAGUAAGGAUGUAGGGCAAGCACGCUCCGAUUUUAGGACAGAGCAAAAGAGCGACCCCACAUUAGCGGACGUCUGGGCACAGGGAAAAGUCGGGACCCAUGGAAUAGUGAUCGAGGACGAUCUACUGUUCCACGUAGAUGAAAUUAAUGGCCGGAAGGAGAAACAGCUAGUACUCCCCAAGUCACGAAGGGAGGAGGUGCUGCGCCUUGCGCAUGACAUGCCAUGCGGAGGGCAUUUUGCAGAAAGAAAAACGAAACAGCGCAUUCGAUGCGGGUUUUAUUGGCCUUCAAUGACAGCUGACAUAAAAUCCUAUUGCCAGAGUUGUCAUUCCUGUCAGGUGUCAUCCAUUCCGAGAGCAAAUGAUCGAGUCCCAAUCACACCGCUAACGAGGCCGCAAGUGCCCUUUCAGAUAGUCUACAUGGAUUGUAUUGGGCCAUUAGAACCUCCUUCCUCACGAGGCCAUCGCUAUGCUCUUUGUGUAGUUGACCUGUGUACACGCUGGGCUGAGGUCGUACCGCUACGGACGCUUACGGCGAAAAUGACCUGUCAGGCACUCGUAGAUAUCUUCGCGCGAUAUGGAACUCCUGAGAUGAUAUGCUCAGAUCAAGGUACAAACUUCGUAGCGAAAGUGACCGUGGAACUCCACAAAUGUCUAGGCAUAGAAGUACGGUUCUCCACGCCCGAACACCCUCAAAGCAACGGGAUCGUUGAGCGCUGGAACGGCACGUUUAAGUCAAUGCUAAGACAUGUGAUUGCCACCCAUAAAAGAGAAUGGGAUCGCUACAUACCUUGCCUAUUAUGGGCCUACCGUGAGGUACCACAUGACGUAACGGGAAUGUCUCCCUUUGAACUGAUGUACGGACGGAGCCCAAAUGGCCCAUUAAGCAUCUUACAGAAAUCAUGGACAGGGCAGUGGACGCCGCCGGACGGUCUAAACACGUCGCCCACACAAUACCUAAGGGAAUUGCGGGACAGAAUGGUAGAAGCCGCGCGUGUCGUAGACGAAAGGUCGGAACGGGUGCAAAGACAAUACGCAGAACGGUACAACCUCAGGACUAAAGAUAAAACGUUCGAGGUCGGGGAUGAAGUACUUAUCCUAGAGACAGGGCUCACUGGAAAAAUGACGCCGAAAUGGCUCGGGCCGAUGAAAGUGAAAGAAAGACGUCGCGAAAACAGUUAUGUUAUUCAGCAACGGGAUGGUACUGAGAAAUGGGUACACGCGAAUAGGCUUAGACGCUAUUAUGCUAGGAUCAACAGUGUCGGGGUGAUAUUCGACAACGACGAUGAGUUCGGAGAAGUAUUAAGCACCCCGAAUGUGAAACAGACGAAGGUAGGCAUAGAUGUGAAAAACAUUGAGAGUGCGCAUCUCAACCCCAAUCAGAGCGAAAGGUUAAGACAGGUUGUCGGGAAGUUCGCCCAAUGUUUCUCAGAGAAACCGGGCAGAUGCAGGGUGGGUUCGCAUAAGAUAACUUUGAUGCCUGGCCAGAAACCUAAGCCUACGUAUCCGUACAAGGUGCCUAUCGCGCUUAGAGACGAAGUGGAGCGGCAGAUAGAGCAACUUCUCGAGUGGGACUUCAUAUACCCAACAGAGAGUGUAUACGCGCAUCCUAUAGUAUGCGUCGCGAAACGGGAUGGGUCCGUCCGAAUGUGUAUCGAUUAUAGGCAAUUGAACACAUUCACGGAACCUGAUAGUUUUCCCAUGGAGAACACCACUGAACUAUUGUACGAGGUAGCUAAAGCGCGUUACAUCACCACUCUGGAUCUAACGCGUGGGUACUGGCAGAUCGCACUUGAUAAGGAAUCUCAGAGACUGUCGGCUUUUGCGUCCCCGCGCGGUCUCUAUGCCUGGAAGGUCAUGCCAUAUGGGUUGAGGAACUCCGCGGCGACGUUUCAGCGCGUCAUGAACGAAGUCCUCCGGAAACAUAGGGGUUAUGCAACGGCCUAUAUUGACGAUGUGGCCGUGUAUUCGGAAACCUGGGAGGCACACCUCGAGCACCUCGAAAACGUUCUAGAGACAAUUGCGGAGGUCGGGUUGGUGAUUAAUCCGUCGAAGUGCAACUUUGCUCAACCGAGUGUUAAAUACCUCGGACAUGUUGUAGGAUCGGGCACGCACUCACCGGAUCCGGAGAGAGUAAAGGCAAUACUGAAUCUAGAGCCGCCUAAGACUAAAACGGAAUUGCGCAGUGCCCUCGGGUUAUGCAACUACUAUCGGGACUACAUCCCUCACUACUCAGAAGUGGUUCGACCACUUACGAAUCUGACUAACAAAAGGGUGCCGAAUAAUAUACCUUGGGACAUGGAAGCGGACAACGCGUUCCGCAAAAUGAAAAUGGCGCUCGCGACGGUCCCGAAGCUGGCGGCACCCGACCCAAACAGGGGGUAUGUACUAGCCACCGAUGCGUCUGAGCGAGCUGUCGGGGCGUGUCUCUCCCAGACAGUAGACAGCAAAGAUGUGCCGAUCGCAUUUCUCAGCAAAAAGCUCACGCCGACACAAUCACGAUGGUCGACGAUAGAACGUGAAGCGUAUGCGAUCGUGUGGGCAUUAAGUCGUCUGGAUACGUGGUUGUUUGGGGCCAAAACCAAGGUAUUAACUGACCACAACCCUCUCACGUAUCUGUGUGGCUCAGCAUCCUCGAGUGCACGUUUAACACGUUGGGCGCUUGCCUUGCAAAAAUACGAUAUUGAGAUCAUACAUAUUCGGGGCAAAUUGAAUAAGUGUGCCGAUGCAUUGUCCAGGUUAAACGCUACUUCCGAAGGAGCGAUUGGGCCAACUUAGAGGGCACAUACAUUGUUGUAUAUAAUGGUAAAUUGCCGGUAUAGCAAAUAGUCUGUGAAAUGGCCUGGUGGGCCUUAGAACGUACUGGACUGGGUCCUAUCCUGUGUGUGCUGUGAAUGUGGCUCCGCUGCGACAGACGUUGCAAGCGGUGAAGUGUGACAAAUUCUGGAUUUUUGUGGAUUUUUAAUGUCCCGCGACAUCAAGUGUCUAGUGACAUUCUUGGCAGGGAGGUGUCAGAAUUUGAAGUGUGCUAAAAUAGUGAGGCGGCCAAGGAACAUGGAAAUACGGGAUGUCACCGGACGACAGCAGACGGAAAAAGAAGUGUCUAGACGGUGGAUUAACCGUUGUGGCAUCCCAUCCCCAAAAAGGAUUGUGUCCUUGGCAAAGUACACCUGCUGCAGACAACCAGCGGGAACAAAGGGUUCCGGGCAGACGGCUGCGAGCGUCCACCCUUUAUAAGGCGGACCCAAGGUCGGCAGCGGGCAGCUUGCGCUUGGACUUCGUCGGAGAAGCCGGUUCAAUGCUCAUUCUCAUCCUCAUGUUGUAUUCUCUGUUUUUCCUGUGCAUAAAUGUUGUUUGUUGUUGCCCAGUUGCAAUCACCUCCUUCCUCAUCAUAAGGGAAACUUCACUACAUACAUUCAUCACUCAUGGGCUUUUACUUCGCGGAGAGGAGCCACCUCAGUGUGAGCACUGUGGUGAACUUCUCUGUCGUACAUACACUAUUUUCAUAUCCUCACUAUGAGGCCCAUCGUCGACACCAUUUUAGACAGUUCUAUUCACAUUAUUUACCUCAUCACCCAGCCCUAUUGCUUGGUGAUGAGGCGAUCAUCCACUUUCGCAGAGUUUUUAACUUCUUGACAGAUAUUGGAAUCUUAAACGUUCUGUAGUUUCAGAAUUGCAGUUGUAGACAGCUUAAUAUGUUUCCUCACUAGUUAUAUUUAAUUUUAACUAGUCACAUCACUGCCAAAUAAUGUUUUGGCGCAUUAUGACCUUUGUUGUCGAUGCGCAAGAAAAAAAAAAAGAAGCUCGAAUCAUCAUUAUCAUCAUCCCAAUUCCCCACAUCACCACCAGCAAUGGGGUAGAGUAUAUCGCCCCGGCGAUGAAAACUCUCCAUUCAUCAUCUCAAAAUAAAGUUGUUGUUGUUGCUCGGCCACACGUUGGGGAGGCCGGCCGGACUUGGUGGAUCCGUCUGCUGAAUCCAAGGUAUGUAUAGGAACCUGGCCCAGGACACCAGUAACUUGAGUUAGGGUACAAGUCGCGUGGACACGGCGUCUUCUACGAGGAGCGGUUAGUUAUUAGUAUUGAAAUGUCGGCGUAUGUCAGAGAAAGCUCAGUUGGGCAAAACUUGUCCACAUACUGACCACAACUGUUAUCAUAUUGUUGCUGAGCAGAAACGACCAAGGUAUGCAGGCUGGUAGUUGGUGACGAUUCAUACUGAGUGAACGGGGAGCAAGAAGGAGAAAGACGAGAGAUCGCCUCUCGUCUCUGUUGUUCUUGCUGCUUUUUCACUCAGUGUCAGCUGAAAUGUACGUUUGCCCGCAUUGUUCAUCCACCUUCGUGAAUUUACGUUGCGAUGUUUGACCCUCCCGUGCAGAAGCGUGUCCUCCUCCUGCGGUUCUUAAAGAAGGUAGAGGCAUGCCUUUAGCUGCGCAGUAAGUAUACACAGCGUUCGUUG
Ornithodoros turicata is the source of this 6965-nucleotide RNA transcript. RefSeq lists it as uncharacterized. The record is from RefSeq and is a predicted model, not a curated record. The transcript is spliced from 4 exons. NCBI's taxonomy places the organism in Eukaryota, Metazoa, Arthropoda, Arachnida, Ixodida, Argasidae.